This is an RNA transcript of Gossypium arboreum, 2059 nucleotides long. It is a transcript of the gene named DEAD-box ATP-dependent RNA helicase 15-like, with no coding region annotated. The transcript is spliced from 13 exons. NCBI's taxonomy places the organism in Eukaryota, Viridiplantae, Streptophyta, Magnoliopsida, Malvales, Malvaceae. The record is from RefSeq and is a predicted model, not a curated record.
ACAAAAACUUUUCGCUAUUUAUAAAAGAGAUCAGUCGUCCAACUCGCAGCCUCUAUUUCUCCCUCUCUUCGAAGCUCUUUGUUUAAAAAUUUUCAAAUUUAAUUUUUGCAUAUUAAGAUCUAACCUUUUCAUUUGCAGACGCACUCUCAGAUCCCAGCUCUAGAACUUCAAUUCUCUCCCUAAAAGUUUGUAGACAAAUGGGAGAAACAAGAGACAACGAUGCCUACGAGGAAGAGCUCCUCGAUUACGAGGAAGAAGAAGAGAAAGCCCCUGACUCUGUCACUGCUAAGGUCAAUGGCGAGGCCGGCAAGAAGGGCUAUGUUGGGAUUCACAGUUCUGGAUUCAGAGACUUCCUUUUGAAACCAGAGCUUCUUCGGGCCAUUGUCGAUUCUGGAUUCGAGCACCCUUCCGAAGUGCAACAUGAAUGUAUUCCCCAAGCUAUACUGGGUAUGGAUGUUAUUUGCCAAGCUAAAUCAGGAAUGGGGAAGACUGCAGUUUUUGUUCUAUCUUCAUUACAGCAAAUUGAACCAAGUCCUGGGCAAGUUAUUGCCCUCGUUUUAUGCCAUACAAGGGAGUUAGCUUACCAGAUUUGUCAUGAGUUCGAGAGGUUCAGUACUUAUCUGCCUGAUAUCAAGGUUGCUGUCUUCUAUGGUGGUGUCAACAUCAAAGUUCAUAAAGAUUUGCUGAAAAAUGAAUGCCCUCACAUUGUUGUUGGGACACCUGGAAGGAUUUUGGCUCUGACCAGAGACAAGGACCUUUCCUUGAAGAAUGUGAGGCAUUUCAUUCUCGAUGAAUGUGACAAGAUGCUGGAAUCACUUGACAUGAGGAGAGAUGUGCAGGAGAUUUUCAAGAUGACCCCUCAUGAUAAGCAAGUUAUGAUGUUUUCAGCCACACUCAGCAAAGAAAUACGCCCGGUUUGCAAGAAAUUCAUGCAAGAUCCUAUGGAAAUUUACGUUGACGACGAGGCCAAGUUGACCCUUCAUGGUCUUGUGCAGCACUACAUCAAAUUGAGUGAACUGGAGAAAAACCGAAAGUUGAAUGACCUCCUUGAUGCAUUGGACUUCAAUCAAGUUGUUAUCUUUGUCAAAAGUGUGAGCCGAGCAGCUGAGUUGAACAAGUUACUUGUGGAGUGCAAUUUUCCUUCCAUAUGCAUCCACUCUGGCAUGUCUCAGGAAGAAAGAUUAACUCGCUACAAGGGUUUCAAGGAGGGGCAUAAAAGAAUUCUUGUGGCAACAGAUUUGGUUGGAAGGGGAAUCGACAUUGAACGAGUUAACAUUGUCAUCAACUAUGACAUGCCAGAUUCUGCUGAUACAUACCUGCACAGGGUUGGUAGAGCUGGUCGGUUUGGCACCAAGGGUCUUGCAAUUACAUUUGUUUCAUCCGCUUCAGAUUCUGAUGUGCUCAAUCAGGUCCAAGAGAGGUUUGAGGUUGAUAUAAAGGAGCUUCCUGAGCAGAUUGAUACAUCUACGUACAUGCCAUCAUAAAUGAAGGUUCAUUCAACAAUACCAGUCUCGGGCCCCAAAUCAUGAAUCGGUUAGUGUGGUUGCGGAUGUGUAUCUGUUUGUAAACUAAUGUGUAACGCCUUUUAAAUCAGUUGCUUGGGAGGGAGCGGCAGAUGCACUAUCACGUGGUUUUGAACUGCUGCUUAAAAGAGUAUUGUAGCCUUAUAAAAACUCAAUUGAGGAUUUAGCUAUAUCGAUAGGUUUUGUUGGAUCGGACAAUGUGAGAGAUUCAACCAUUAACUGUAGAGUUGAGCUCCACACUACAAGCCAUUAAUGUAGACAUUGUUUGAAUGAAUGCAAGCAUCCUAUGAAGACAAUGCCACCCAUAUGAUCUGUGAAGAUGCUUUAUCUCGAAACCUCUCAGUUUCUUAGGGGCGUUAAUUGCAUGAACCGAAGGCAAUUGAUCUCAUGUGAUUGGCUAAGACGUGUUCUUAGCCUUUGUUAAUUAUGUCUUACAAUCUACAUUGGGUAUGCACCAAAGCCACCGAUUCUUUUGGGCUUGAAGCUUAUGUUUGGUGGUAUAAUAAAGGUGAAGAAAGCAUUGCUAUUGAUAUCUA